Stomoxys calcitrans (stable fly) is the source of this 679-nucleotide long non-coding RNA. RefSeq lists it as uncharacterized. The transcript is spliced from 2 exons. The record is from RefSeq and is a predicted model, not a curated record. Lineage: Eukaryota; Metazoa; Arthropoda; Insecta; Diptera; Muscidae.
AUGAUAAAAAAAUGUAAUAAUGUGAAACCUUAAACUAAAAAAUUUUAAAAAUGUGAAUGUGGAUGUGGAUGGAUAAAAGGACAUUUCAAAAGUAAUAAAAAUAAAACAAUAAGAAACAUUUGCAGAUUUUUUAAAACAAAUAUAAGUUAUUUUGGUACACAUAGUGCGCCUGUGAUUUUGUUUCGAAAAUAUAUUUUUUAAAUACAUGUAUUAAUACAUGUAUUUUUGUUUUCCAAUACAUUUGUCAACUUAAUAAAUCCUUGUGAAAUUCGUUUUUUUAAAUUAUAUUAAAAUGAGAAGAAUCUUGAUAAAGUCCGCAAGCAGCAGCCAAUAAAUCAGAAAAUCAAGUGAAUUGAUGGGUCUCUAUACAAAGCUGCCUCCUCAGUGCAUAACACACUACUACAUCAACAACAACAAUUAAAUCUGCCGAAAUAUGGAGUGUUAAAAAUAUAAUCCUGCAAAAACAAAUACUAUUGUAGUUUGGAACAUUAACUGUCGCACAGUGGGAUAGAGCCGAAAAAAACUAGAAAAAAAAAUAAAAAAAACGAAUAGAGAUAUCUUUGUAAUUCUUUUUGAAUUUUGCUGAUAAAAGUAUCCUUAAAACAUUAAAAAUAAAUUCUGCCCGAAUUUUUCACGAAAAUCCCUAAAAUACCCCUUUCGGGCAAAGAUAUUUUCAAAA